UGAGACCUCUUGAUGGCCGCGGCCGUGAUCUUCAUUGGGAUCGGCUGAGGAACUUCCGGGCUCCACAGAGCACGAUGGCGGAUAACGUCCGCCCAGGGCGACCUGAGAGAUAGCGCAACAGAGAACAGACCGCCCGUCCUCGACGGGUAAGGGUGAAACGGCGGUGUAAGAGACCACCGGGGACCUGGUAACAGGGACCGCAUGGCAAGCCUCAUCGGGAGCAAGGCCAAGCAGAUGACGGCAAGGGCUGCUCGCCCGUGUCAUCGGGUAGGCUGCUAGAGCCUGACGGCGACGUCAGGUCGAGAUGGAUGGCCAUCCGCGCGCGUUUCGGCGCGCGUGACAGAACCCGGGGUAUAAGAGGUCUCACUUU
RNAcentral lists this RNase P RNA (370 nucleotides) under Bifidobacterium lemurum. Its description in RNAcentral is "Bacterial RNase P class A". It matches the Rfam family "Bacterial RNase P class A". Rfam says of the family: Ribonuclease P (RNase P) is a ubiquitous endoribonuclease, found in archaea, bacteria and eukarya as well as chloroplasts and mitochondria. Its best characterised activity is the generation of mature 5'-ends of tRNAs by cleaving the 5'-leader elements of precursor-tRNAs. Lineage: Bacteria; Bacillati; Actinomycetota; Actinomycetes; Bifidobacteriales; Bifidobacteriaceae. The record is from Rfam by way of RNAcentral.